UUUAACGAUUGUGUUUACUUUGUGUUCUGAUCCCUCAGGUCCGUUUCUCAGUUUGGAAUGAGAGCAUGAGAGAUCAAUAUUGGGAAAUAUUCUCUCUGCUACCUUGGCUUCCGCCUGCUAAACAUAAGCUCUUCAUUUGAGACUACACUUGAACGCCGUCUCCUGCUAUUACGCUGCACAAGGGCAAAAAAAAAAAAGCUGCUGAGGACGCCAGUUGGUCUGAAGACGGCGGUAAUUAAGAGCCAAUUAUUCCACCUCUGGAGUCUUAUUAACGACGUUGGUGAGCAAGCGAGGCGAGCAGCAGGGUGUAAUCACUGGGGAGUGGUGACAGGAUAAUGGUAUGACCAGAACCCCUCUUUAUCAUUGCCUGUGGAUCUGACAGACCCAUACAGUACAGAACUAUCACGACAUGGGUUGCUACAACCGAUGAGUCUGCGGGGUGUCUAGCAGCCCUGGGCUGAAGAAAUGUUUGGGUUUCAAUCCACGCAUUUGAACUAAUUUUAUCAACAGAUCGACUUUUAUGGUACAGAAAAACUGUGGAUACUAAUUCUACCCCCAUAAAAAUAGAUAUAACAGUGGCAACACUAUCAAGAAGCACGAUUAUAGUCUGUAAACUUCACCCCUCUCAAUACAAGGAUAGCAGAGUGGGCUAGAGAGGCUCUCCAGAGGAAAGGACAUUCAAAGCCAUUACAGACAAUCUGAUUGCUUUGCGAAAGAGGUGUCCAAAGACCAACAGAACGGAAAUUAGGAAAUAAUGGAGGGGAAUAAUGAAAAACAAUGAAAACUGGCAGCAAGUCGGGAAAAAUGAUAAGGAGAGGAAAGAAAAAAAAAGGAGUGGUUUUGCUCAUUCCAUACCGUUUCACCUUUUAAAAGAGGUAAGAGAAAAAUCAGUUAUAUAAACGGGUUAGAAAAAAUAAUUCUUCUUGUUAUUUUAGAUUGCCUUCUAAUGUCGGCUCAUCUCGUUUCCUCUGCAAGUCUAAUUUAAGAUCCUAUCUCCUGCUCACCUUGGUGUGAUAUCACAUCAGAGUUCAGCCAGCAUGGAAUCUGAAUACCAAAUGGAUAGGCUAGACUAGUUAGUUUGGAAAUGGAAGAGAGAUUUCCCUCUCUUUCCCACUCCAUAUUUUCAUUUUCUUUCUCUCUCUCACAAUGUUUGGUGAAAACUGCAAUUGUGUACCU
This is a long non-coding RNA of Cyprinus carpio carpio, 1176 nucleotides long. The record is from Ensembl. Lineage: Eukaryota; Metazoa; Chordata; Actinopteri; Cypriniformes; Cyprinidae.